This 442-nucleotide ribosomal RNA is filed under the name uncultured bacterium. RNAcentral describes it as "bacterial SSU rRNA". It matches the Rfam family "Bacterial small subunit ribosomal RNA", at positions 338 to 795 of the family's 1533-position model. The record is from RNAcentral.
CCUACGGGGGGCUGCAGUCGAGAAUAUUUCACAAUGGACGAAAGUCUGAUGAAGCGACGCCGCGUGUACGAUGAAGUAUUUCGGUAUGUAAAGUACUUUUAUGUUGGAAAAACGAUGAUUGUACAACAUGAAUAAGGGGUUGCUAACUCUGUGCCAGCAGCAGCGGUAAUACAGAGACCCCAAGCGUUAUCCGGAAUCAUUGGGCGUAAAGGGUGAGUAGGUGGUAUUAUUAGUCGGGUGUUAAAGAUCAGGGGCUCAACCCCAGAUAUGCAUCCGAAACGGUAAAACUAGAAUAUUGGAGAGGUGAGUGGAACUCUAUGUGUAGGGGUAAAAUCCGUUGAUAUAUAGGGGAACACCAAAAGCGAAGGCAGCUCACUGGCCAAUUAUUGACACUGAAUCACGAAAGCGUGGGUAGCGAUCCGGCUUAGAUACCCCUGUAGUC